UAUACCAACGGUAAUUUGAGCCAGAGAAAACCAAAAAACAAUAAAUGUGGAUUUUAGAAGGCAGCGCUUUGAAGCCGUCAAUUGAAAAAGUUAAAUAGCAAAAAUGUUCCACUUUUCGCCGAGACAAACAACAGUUGGCAAGAAAAUUUCAUGCAAGUGAUUUAUUGAAUUUUUUUAAUGGUGAAUUUCAUUAGAAAUUA
Long non-coding RNA from Rhagoletis zephyria (snowberry fruit fly), 200 nucleotides. RefSeq lists it as uncharacterized. Lineage: Eukaryota; Metazoa; Arthropoda; Insecta; Diptera; Tephritidae. The record is from RefSeq and is a predicted model, not a curated record.